UACGUAGGGACCGAGCGUUGUCCGGAAUCAUUGGGCGUAAAGAGCGUGUAGGCGGCCUUUUAAGUCCUGCGUGAAAGCCCACGGCUCAACCGUGGAGGGUCAUUGGAAACUGGGGGACUUGAGUGCAGAAGAGGAAAGCGGAAUUCCACGUGUAGCGGUGAAAUGCGUAGAGAUGUGGAGGAACACCAGUGGCGAAGGCGGCUUUCUGGUCUGUAACUGACGCUGAGGCGCGAAAGCGUGGGGAGCAAACAGG
This 253-nucleotide ribosomal RNA is filed under the name uncultured bacterium. RNAcentral describes it as "partial 16S ribosomal RNA". It matches the Rfam family "Bacterial small subunit ribosomal RNA", at positions 524 to 776 of the family's 1533-position model. The record is from RNAcentral.